CAAAAUAAUUUCCAUGGCUUUCAAUGAUGGACUAAAAUCAACAAAAGAACCUCUAGCAAAAAAAUUGAAAAGUAAACUCCCAAAGUUUCUCUUGCCCAGGGCCUGCUCCCAGCCAUCUCUCCCUCUGACUGUCUCGCUUCCUCCCGCUUUCCUCAUGUGACAGAUUUAAAGCCCAAGACCCCCAACUCAGCCUGUGAAGACCUGAGACAGGAAGCCAGGACCAGUUCUACUUUGCAUGUCAGAGCCAACAGCCUCUCUUGGUCUCUCUUGGUCUUUUUAUUCUGAUGUGAAGAAGGAAGUUCUUCUAAACCAUAGAAGAAUUUGGAUGCUUUAGAGACUUCCAGAGAAAGGUGUUUGAAGAAAUCAGAAGAGUUCUUAGGAGACAGGCAGUAGAAAAAGAGGAAAGACUCCUGAAGCUGAGACCUCAAUGAUCCGGUGAUGCUGUCUGUGAUUCUCCAGGACAAGAAACAUCCUGGGAGCUGAAAACAUCCUGGGAGGAACAAAACAUCCACUCAGUUCCUCAUUAUUCUUGGACCUUUACCAUCUUGUUUACGCGGAUGUACUGAACUCUCUGCAAACCAUUUGUUACCUUUGUUUCUCCCAAUGUACUGAAUAAAAGGUGCAGUAAGCUGGGGGCUUUUGUCUUUGCUGCCCAGAGCAGCACUGAUCAGACCCGAAGCUCAGCUUCUUCUCAGUCUCGUUUUUCUACCUUUCCUGUAG
Long non-coding RNA from Heterocephalus glaber (naked mole-rat), 720 nucleotides. Lineage: Eukaryota; Metazoa; Chordata; Mammalia; Rodentia; Bathyergidae. The record is from Ensembl.